UAUAGCAGCCAGAGCAGAAUAAUGCAAUUAAUAAACAUUUUUUCCAGAUAAGCUAAAUUUGUUCUUCUAAGUAUAAAACCUUUGAAAAUAUUACUGCAUUUGUAAGGAUACACACAAGUGUAUGCACAUGUGCACACAUAUGCACACACACUUUUUUUGUGUGGUGCUGAGGUUGAACCCAGAGCUUCAAGCAUGCUAGGCAAGUGCUCUACCACCAAGCUACACCCUCCAGCUCCAAGAAGAAUGUAUUCUAAGUUGUAUCUAUAAAUGAUAAUGUAAUGAAUCCCUUGUUGAGCCCAUCAGGUCCUAUCUUUCUAUCAUACAUGAUGCAGCACUGCCAGGCCCACAGACUAGAGGGACAGUUACCUUCUGUCCCUGAUCCCCGAUCCUGAUGCUGUUAGUUUUUAGGAUUUUUGUUUUGCCUUGGUCCCCUGCCCUGCUGCUUCAGGCUGUCACUUCCUUCUGCUUGUCAUGUAUUCACUUCUAGCAACCUCCUGCCUUCCUCCCAAGGUAGCUGGACAACAAAUAAGCAAGUUUGCUUGAUUUCUGUGUGAUAGAGUAAACAGGCCUGAAGGAAAACCUAGAGAACAAAGGACAUGUGUUUUUCUUAUGCACAAAUUUAGUGACACUUCUUGUAGCUCCUGAGAGAACAUUUUAACCUCCUUCCUGGACAUUGGCAGCCUGGAAGACAGUCAAAAUUGCCAUCUAAAUGACCUACUGAUGAGAUGUUGCUCUUUUGGCCAAAAUGAUGGGGAAUCCUCUGUAGAUGUGAGGGUCUCUCAGGGACCCGGAUUGGGAGUUCUUGGUGUGUUUCACCUGGGUCCCCUCUGCCCACCAGAGCCUGCAGUCUUUCAGCGCAUAGUGGCUGCUGAGUGGAAUUGCUGUCAGGAGCACUGCCCUUCAUGCCUCCUCCUCUUGACAUUCUGCCGAAUUUGUAACUCUGGUGGGAGACAGAUGCAAUUUAUCUGUCCUACUUCUCUAUGAAGAUCCAGAAAGAUACACUCAUUUCCUAGAAUUCAUUGGGAACCAUCAAAAAUGUCAGGGCCCAUGAACAGACUGGCAAGGCAAUUUUUCCAAUGUCAAAACAAAAUCUCGAGGACCAAAAUUGAAGUUGGGCAAAUUGGCCCAGAGAAGCCUCUGGCAUGGAUUCAAAACUGCCUGUGGCUCCCCUGGGACUAGGAGGACAGGGUAUGUUGGUACCUUCAGCAAAGAUGCUCAGUUUGAAUUGAAGACACUUUAAUUUAUGUGAAGUGAUUUCUCUCCAGUUUAACUCGGAGCAGGGCUGCCCUGGGAACCAGGUACCUGAUAUCUCUGCCCUGUGUACAGACCAAGCGUGUUUAUGGAUUCCUAGGCAGCAGUCUUGGUAGCCCAGGGGAGGGUAAAGUGGCCUGGUCAUACUUCUGCUCAUAUUCCCUGCCAUUUCCAGAACCCCAGGUCUUUCCAUUCCUUGUCUUUCUCCCGGUAUUUUAACUCUGACAGCCUUGCUCUAGAGAGAAGAGAUACCGAGAAAUGCAAUUAGGUGGAGGACCAGUGAAGCACCAGAAGUGUGAGAACGCUUCUGGACCUUCAGCCCUACCCAGGCCCCAGAAGACUGUGUCCACAUAGCUGUCUGUGCCCAUCCCACAGCAGAUGAGUCAUGUUACCCCAUAGAACUACAAACAGAGGAUGGCUACUGUUGCAAACCAUUACAUCUUGAGAUGAACUGCUUUGGAGCAAGGGUAACUGGAGCAGGUAUUCUAGGAGAGAUGCAAAGCAGAAAAAUGAUUCCCAGUCUUCACGGGAAGGCCUUAUUAUUUAGGAUUCCUGUUCAGUGCCUACUUUGAAGGUGCCAGAGAAGCAAGAAGAAUUGAGAGAAAUAAGAUCCCCUCCUUGAUCUUGUGACGGUGAGUACAGUACUGUGUUGGUAGCAGCUUUGGGAUAUUGUGUUUUGUCUUCCCAUCCCAUCACCUCUACCAGAUGCCCAUCUCUGUGUGCAUGAGAUAGUCAACACUUUAUUAUAAAACAGACUUUGUGUUGGAUGAUUUUGCCCAGUUGUAAAAGUUAUGAUAUUUGGUAGGUUUAGUGUAUUUAAUGUAUUUUGAGUUAUAUUUUCAACUUAUAAUGGGUUUCUCUGAAUAUAAGCCCUUUUCAAGUUGAGGAACUAGAACAAUGUCAGACAGACUACUCAGGAUUCUAAAUUUUAUGGGCCUUGCCUGCACCACCUCAGUGUCACUGGACAGGGCCUGAGGAGGUUCCCAAAGCUGAGAUCAGGAACCUAACCUACCCUACUUGCAAAAUGUUUGCUGGUUCUCUGAAUUCUAUCACAGAAAAAGAGUUUCCAGGAAUAGUCAGUAAGAGACAUAGGAAAGGUUUUAUUAGGUAAAAAUUAAAAGGUAGAUGCUCAAAGAAAUAGAUUACAGACCCUUAAGAGAAAGUGGUACCUUAUUUCCUGAAACUGGGGACAUUUAUGUUUCUCUUGAGGGAGUAGAAACCCUGGGAAAAGGUGGCUCAGCCCUGAGAAGGGUACUGGCCCAUCUUACAGGUAUGGAUCCAGUUUGUGUUUUUUUAAAAUAGAUAACUGAAAUAUUUUUCAGAUUCUCUCAACAUGUUCCUUUAUCGUAGGAUCAGGUUCUUGCCUUUUACUUUCUCGGUCAAGCCAAUUUAUGGACUUUCAGUAUUCCUGAGGAAUGUUGAUGGGUCUGGAAGGAAAGGAGUCUAAAUUCAGUGUAACCAAGGGAAUGGUGAUAUGGAUCGCCUCGGGCAACUUUGACUGGGUCACAGACAUUGCAGUGUUCUUAAAAGAACAAUUCUUAAAAGUGAUGAUGAUGGUAAUGAAUGAUGACAAUGACACUGCAAAAGGCAUCACUGCUAUUCUGUCAGCUAUCCACUCUGGCACACAUCACUUCAUUGUGAUGUAGGGUCCAAGGGGGUCUCCUAAGGAGGAGAUGAGGACUUCAACUCACUCCAGGCACAAGUGGCCUCAAAGUGAAAAAGAAGUGAUGCUAGCAAUUCCGAUAUGCCAAAGAGAAACUGUAAAGUGCUUCCUUUAAGUAAAAAGGGUUAUGCUCUGCUAACGCUGCCGGAAAUGACUUGGAUUAAAUGACAUGAAUCGGGAAGCCAGGGCCAUCAGAAGUGGUUUUGUGAAGAAACACAGGGAAGGUCACCAGGUCACUCUCAUCCCUUCAUUCUCUCUCUCUGAAUACCUGAUAGACUGUAAAAUAGAGCUCACCGAACGCACCAAGUCUGUGUGUACUUUCAGUAUCUAAGGAGUAAACACCCUGUGAAGUGUCAGCUGGGACCAGGAGCAUGAUUGCUACCACUGAGGCCCCCACAGAUCCCCUGUCACUGAUGCCUCCGUCCCCCCGGGGUGCGGAAAACUUCCGUGGAAGGAGCUGUCUAAAGGGAACACGGAGUA
Molecule: long non-coding RNA, 3394 nt
Organism: Heterocephalus glaber (naked mole-rat)
Lineage: Eukaryota; Metazoa; Chordata; Mammalia; Rodentia; Bathyergidae
Source: RefSeq, a predicted model, not a curated record